RNAcentral lists this ribosomal RNA (421 nucleotides) under uncultured bacterium. RNAcentral describes it as "partial 16S ribosomal RNA". It matches the Rfam family "Bacterial small subunit ribosomal RNA", at positions 360 to 773 of the family's 1533-position model. The record is from RNAcentral.
AAUAUUGGACAAUGGGGGCAACCCUGAUCCAGCCAUGCCGCGUGUGUGAAGAAGGUCUUCGGAUUGUAAAGCACUUUAAGUUUGGCGGAAGGGCUUUAGGUUAAUACCCUGAAGUUUUGACGUUACCAACAUAAUUAGCUCCGGCUAACUAUGUGCCAGCAGCCGCGGUAAUAAAGAGGGUGCAAGCGUUAAUCGGAAUUACUGGGCGUAAAGCGCGCGUAGGUGGUUCAGGACGAUGGGUGUGAAAUCCCCGGGCUUAACCUGGGAACUGCUUUCAUAACUGCUGAGCUAGAGUACUGUAGAGGGUAGUGGAAUUUCCUGUGUAGCGGUGAAAUGCGUAGAUAUAGGAAGGAACACCAGUGGCGAAGGCGACUACCUGGACUGAUACUGACACUGAGGUGCGAAAGCGUGAGGAGCAAAC